RNAcentral lists this ribosomal RNA (596 nucleotides) under uncultured bacterium. RNAcentral's name for it is "bacterial SSU rRNA". It matches the Rfam family "Bacterial small subunit ribosomal RNA", at positions 29 to 603 of the family's 1533-position model. The record is from RNAcentral.
ACGAACGCUGGCGGCGUGGAUAAGACAUGCAAGUCGAGCGAGAUUUUUUCUUGUAGCAAUACAGGGAAACGUCUAGCGGCGAACGGGUGCUUAACACGUGGGCAAUCUGCCGAGAAGUGGGGGAUAGCUCGCCGAAAGGCGAAUUAAUACCGCAUGUGAUUAGAGUGGACAUCCAUUCAAAAUCAAAGUCGGGGCAACCUGACGCUUUUUGAGGAGCCCGCGGCCUAUCAGCUAGUUGGUGAGGUAACGGCUCACCAAGGCUUUGACGGGUAGCUGGUCUGAGAGGACGACCAGCCACACUGGGACUGAGACACGGCCCAGACACCUACGGGUGGCAGCAGUCGAGAAUUUUUCUCAAUGGGGGAAACCCUGAAGGAGCGACGCCGCGUGGAGGAUGAAGGCCUUCGGGUUGUAAACUCCUGUCAUUUGGGAACAAGUCGUAAAUAUUAACUGUAUUUGCGUUGAUAGUACCAGAAGAGGAAGAGACGGCUAACUCUGUGCCAGCAGCCGCGGUAAUACAGAGGUCUCAAGCGUUGUUCGGAUUCAUUGGGCGUAAAGGGUGCGUAGGCGGCGCGGUAAGUCGGAUGUGAAAUCUC